Molecule: ribosomal RNA, 441 nt
Filed under: uncultured bacterium
Lineage: Bacteria
Description: bacterial SSU rRNA
Rfam family: Bacterial small subunit ribosomal RNA
Source: RNAcentral
UACGGGAGGCAGCAGUGGGGAAUAUUGCACAAUGGGCGCAAGCCUGAUGCAGCCAUGCCGCGUGUAUGAAGAAGGCCUUCGGGUUGUAAAGUACUUUCAGUCGUGAGGAAGGUGUUAAGGUUAAUAACCUUAGCAAUUGACGUUAGCGACAGAAGAAGCACCGGCUAACUCCGUGCCAGCAGCCGCGGUAAUACGGAGGGUGCGAGCGUUAAUCGGAAUUACUGGGCGUAAAGGGCACGCAGGCGGUUAAUUAAGUUGGAUGUGAAAUCCCCGGGCUUAACCUGGGAAUGGCAUUCAAGACUGGUUAGCUAGAGUCUUGUAGAGGGGGUAGAAUUCCGAUGUGUAGCGGUGAAAUGCGUAGAGAUGUGGAGGAAUACCGGUGGCGAAGGCGGCCCCUGGACAAAGACUGACGCUCAUGUGCGAAAGCGUGGGGAGCGAAAC